AAGGCGAUGAUGCAUAGCCCGAGUUGAGAGACUGAUCGGGCCACAUUGGGGACUGAGACACGGGCCCAAAACUCCUACGGGGAGGGCAGCAGUAGGGAAUUCUUCCACAAGUGGACGCAAGUCUGAUGGAGCAACGCCGCGUGAGUGAAGAAGGGUUUCGGCUCGUAAAAGCUCUGUUGUUGGUGAAGAAGGACAGGGGUAGUAACUCGACCUUUGUUUGACGGUAAUCAAUUAGAAAGUCACGGCUAACUACGUGCCAGCAGCCGCGGUAAU
Molecule: ribosomal RNA, 273 nt
Filed under: uncultured Lactobacillus sp.
Lineage: Bacteria; Bacillati; Bacillota; Bacilli; Lactobacillales; Lactobacillaceae
Description: partial 16S ribosomal RNA
Rfam family: Bacterial small subunit ribosomal RNA
Source: RNAcentral